RNAcentral lists this ribosomal RNA (421 nucleotides) under uncultured bacterium. RNAcentral's name for it is "bacterial SSU rRNA". It matches the Rfam family "Bacterial small subunit ribosomal RNA", at positions 355 to 774 of the family's 1533-position model. The record is from RNAcentral.
UAAGGAAUAUUGGUCAAUGGACGCAAGUCUGAACCAGCCAUGCCGCGUGAAGGAUGAAGGUCCUCUGGAUUGUAAACUUCUUUUAUCUGGGACGAAAACGGGAUUUUUAUCUCAAUUGACGGUACCAGAGGAAUAAGCACCGGCUAACUCCGUGCCAGCAGCCGCGGUAAUACGUAGGUGGCAAGCGUUGUCCGGAUUUACUGGGCGUAAAGGGAGCGUAGGCGGACUUUUAAGUGAGAUGUGAAAUACCCGGGCUCAACCUGGGUGCUGCAUUUCNAACUGGAAGUCUAGAGUGCAGGAGAGGAGAGUGGAAUUCCUAGUGUAGCGGUGAAAUGCGUAGAGAUUAGGAAGAACACCAGUGGCGAAGGCGACUCUCUGGACUGUAACUGACGCUGAGGCUCGAAAGCGUGGGGAGCAAACC